AGGACCCGGUUUAGUCUAUCUGCAAGCGCUCGACGCGGUGGGUGCUGAGGGGUUGCGCUCGAGGCAGGGUUGCGUGCGUGGUUCCGGAAGCCGGACAGGUGAAUCAACUCACCCUCGCGAUGAAGCGGGAGUGGUAGAUCCUUCUCAUCCUCGCCGUAUACCUCUACCCUCCUGCUCGCUCUCACGUAUUCUUCCCCGAGGAACCCGACGACGACGGCACCGCCGAGGAUGAACGCAAAGUCGCGGAAGAGAGAGUUCGCCAGCGAUCGGCCAUACGCGAACCAGUCGGCCCACGUGGAUCGUGGUCUCGUGUUCUCGUCGCUGGCACCGUUCACACUCGUCCUCGUCCUCGUCCUCGUCCUCGUCUGCGGUUCCAACGCCUCUUACGAGACGCAGGGGCCGAGCUUCGUGACGGAGCCGCCGUCCAGGGUGGAGUUCACAAACGUGAACGGCGGUAGGGUGGACUGCACCGUGCGAGGGAAUCCGCUGCCGACUGUCGACUGGCUGGCGGCGGACGGCGGUAGCAUAAGCAACAUACCCGGCAUCAGGCAUGUCCUUGGCAACGGGACGAUUCACUUUCCCGGUUUCGAGGCCGAGGCCUUCCGGCAGGACGUCCACUGGGCCAUUUAUAAAUGCUCAGCCGUCAACAGCGUCGGCGCCGUCGUUAGCAGAGACGUCACUGUCAGAGCAGUGGUGAACCAGCGUUACGACCCGGAAGUACAAAGUCCCAGCGGCUUCCUCGGCAACAACGUACUUGUGCGCUGCAACGUGCCCAGUUUUGUUCGCGAUCACGUCACGGUCACAUCGUGGCUUCAAGAACCGGCUUUCAAUAUCUAUCCCUCCACGAUGGGCGACGGCAAAUAUCAUAUGCUGCCGACCGGCGAAUUGAUGAUAAUCAAUAUUACGCGAAGCGAUGCACAGAUGACUUAUCGGUGCAGGACGCAUCAUCGGCUAACUCAGGAAACCGUCGUCAGCAGCAAUGUGGGACGCCUGCAACUGACCGAAAUCCGGGGCUCGAUGCCGCCUAUAAUAAACGAGAAAUUGGUCUACAUGUCGGCACGCCUGAAGGACACCGUCGUGAUCCCCUGCGUUGCUUACGCCAACCCUACGCCGUCGAAUAGGUGGUACUACAACAGGAAUCAACGGGAGGAGCCGAUCGAGGAGUCAUCGGGCCAUUACGUGGUGCGAGACGGCUCCCUGAUCAUACAGAACGUCGAAGAAAACGACGGCGGCUCCUACAUGUGCACCGCCAGCAAUUCCGAAGGCAGCGAAACUUUGGAGAUUCGAUUAACGGUGUCUGCGUCGCUAAGCGUUCACGUGCAACCGGCGAUACAGACCGUCGAUCUGGGGAAAUCCGCGUACUUGACGUGCACGGCAAGUGGAUUUCCGCAAGCGGUGCUCUAUUGGCUGAAGGACGGUCAGCCAUUGAGAACGGGCGCCCGCGUAAGGACGGUUUCGAGCGAGCGUAUUUCCGUGACGUCGGUCGCGAGAGAGGACCGCGGCAUGUACCAGUGCUUCGUACGGAACGAGUACGAAAUAGCUCAAGGGAUUGCGGAAUUGCGCUUGGGGGAAAUCGCGCCGCAGCUGGUCUACAGAUUUAUCGAACAGACAAUGCAGCCCGGUCCAUCGGUUUCUCUGAAAUGCAGCGCCGCAGGUAAUCCCACGCCGCAAAUUUCCUGGCUGCUAGAUGGAUUUCCGCUCCCGCAAAACGACAGGCUCCUGAUUGGCCAAUACGUGACCGUGUACGGGGAUGUAAUAUCGCACGUUAAUAUCACGACGGUGAAGCCCGAAGACGGCGGCGAGUACGAGUGCAUCGCGAGCAGCCGCGCUGGCGAAACCAGGCACUCGGCGAGGCUCAAUAUUUACGGACUGCCAUACGUCAGACCUAUGUCGGCCGUUUCAGCGGUCGCGGGGAAACAACUAUAUAUCAAGUGCCCUGUAGCCGGUUAUCCCAUUGAAUCGAUAGUGUGGGAGAAAGGGGAUGUAAAACUGCCAACCGACAUGAGGCAAAGAGUGGCCAACGGCACGCUGUUCGUCGAUACCGUGCAGCGCAGCGCCGACCAGGGCACGUACACAUGCACUGCCAGAAACAAACAUAACUUUACGUCGCAUCGCACGGUCGAAGUGCGUGUGCUAGUGCCACCUAAAAUCACGCCUUUCAGUUUUGCUCGCGAUUUAAACGUAGGGGACCGUACUAGCGUACAGUGCGUAGUCGUGACCGGCGACUUACCACUGACGUUCACGUGGCUCAAAGAUAACGUCCCGAUAGAGACGGUCAGGACGCCGCAGGAUGCGCCGUCGAGCAGCCGCGGUCGGUCGCCGGCCAGUCCUGGGGACGCGAUCAAGGGGCCCCCCAAGCGGGGCCCCACCAUGACCGCCGCCGGCGCCGGGCAUGACGAAGCGUCCCAGAGAAAGAGCAUUACCAUCCGGCAAUAUGACGCUUUUACCAGCGCCCUGAGCAUUAGCACGAUCGCACCCGCGCACAAUGGCACGUACACCUGUCGCGUGACCAAUGGCGCUGCAACCGUCGCUCAUUCUGCACUCCUUCACGUCAACGUACCCCCGAGGUGGACCGUGGAACCUAUCGACCAGAACGCGGUUGUAGGUCACGGCGUCUCCAUCGCCUGUCAGGCCGAAGGAUUCCCCAUUCCGACUGUGACUUGGAAGCAAUCUAUCGGUGAGACUCCGGGCGACUAUAGAGAGCUCGGCUACGGCGGCACGGAGGGCGCCGGGGUGGCCAGGAACGGAUCCUUGGUGAUCCCGCGGGUAUCGCGAGAUCAUGCCGGAUUCUAUCUAUGCCAGGCGAGCAACGGCAUCGGGCCCGGCCUCAGCAAGCUCAUUCGGCUAACGGUUCAUGCAGGCCCCCAGGUGACAGUACGGACAAGACAGGAAUCAGUGCGAAGAGGGGAGAGCGUGAUAUUGCGCUGCGAGGCCGAGGGAGACGCGCCGCUUGAUCUUAGCUGGCGUGCUCGUGACAGCAAGAUCGAUCCUAAUUACGACGUUAGGUACGUGGUGGACAAUACGGUGGACACAUCGGGACGCGUCACCACCGAGCUGCGGGUCGUGCAGGCGAGCCACAUGGACCGCGGCGACUACGUGUGCGUCGCCGCGAAUGCCUAUGGUCAUGCCAAGGCGACGAUCCACUUGCUCGUACAGGAGCCGCCCGAUUUCCCUCGCAAUCUGCACGUAGCCGAGCAGGGCAGCCGCUCGAUCCUGCUGGCCUGGACGUCGCCGGCGAGCGAUCGGGAUGCGAGCCACGCCAGCUCGCCCAUCACCAACUACAUCGUCCAGUACAAGGAGGCGCAAGACGUGUGGCAUGAGCACAACACGCAGAAGCUGGUAGCCGGAGACAACACGGUCGCUCUGGUAUCGCCCCUAAAACCCGCGACUACCUACCACUUUCGAGUGCUUGCGGAAAAUCAUCUUGGAACAUCAGCGCCAAGCGACAUCCUUCAUGUGCAAACGGACGGGGAAGUGCCCGGAGGGCCGCCUAGGCACGUCUCCGUGGAACCCCUGGGCCCGCAGCAGCUCAAGAUCACGUGGCAACCGCCGGAUCGAUCCCUGUGGAACGGCGAACUACUCGGAUACACCAUCGGCUACACCAAUCUCGGAGGAGAUGAUCAAUCGACGAACACGACGCGGGUAGGAAUCACAGGAAACAGGGACGGCUCGCACGAUUACAGGCUAACCGGUCUGCGAAAAUAUACUCAAUAUAGCGUAGUAGUGAAAGCGUUCAAUAGCAAAGGAGACGGCCCGGGAUCCGACCCCGUGAUGGCGCACACGCUCGAGGACGUUCCAAGUGCGCCACCGCAGAAUGUAGCCUGCGCCGCACUGACUGGUCAGAACAUCCAGGUGACCUGGAAACCGCCGCCUUCCGACAAAGUUCACGGGGUCGUGCUGGGGUACAAGCUGCUGUACGAGGCAGCGAGCGGCGCCGCCUCGGACUCGCAGAGCGGCAGGGAGACGAAAAUCAGUCAUGCACUCAGCACGGUGCUGCACGCGCUCAGCCCGUACACCAACUACACGGUGCAGGUGUUGGCUUACACCAAGGCGGGCGAGGGUGUCAGCAGCAGCGCCGUGUCCUGCACCACCGAGGAGACCGUCCCCGAUGCGCCGGAGCGCGUGAAGGCGGUGGUCAGCGGCGAGAACGCCGUCGUGAUAUCCUGGCUGCCGCCGCGCCGGCCGAACGGCCUCCUCACCAAGUACACCGUCUACAUCCGCGUGUUGGACCAAGGCCAGGAGGUGAAGAUCAGCAAGAGCACCUUGCCGGCGCAGAGCCUGCACCACGAGGCGACCGGCUUGAAGCCGCACGAGUCCUACGAGGCGUGGGUCACCGCCUCGACCAAGGUCGGCCAGGGUUCCAGCACGCCGGUCAUCAAACUCCAGCCCAGCACCAACGUUCCAGCCGCUAUAAUAUCGUUCGGCGUGUCCAUCGUGGUGCCGUGGCGGGUGGACGUUAAUAUGGCUUGCCUGGUGGUCGGCGAUCCCAGACCGAACGUCGAGUGGCGACGCGCCGACAUGAAGUUGCAGCAGAAAUCCGACGUGGGCCCGGACAACACGCUGACCCUGAGGAACGUGCAGCGCAGUCACGAGGACAACUACUCGUGCCACGCGAAGAACUCGCUCGGCACCGACGAGAUCACGUACACCCUGCACAUCCAGGUACCGCCGACGUCGCCGACUCUGCUGGCAACCGGCACGACGACCGACGCCAUACAGCUACAAUGGAAGCAGGGCGACAACGGUGGCGCGCCUAUUAAAGGAUUCCUCCUGGCUUAUCGUCGGGAAUUCGCCGAAUGGGAGGAAGUCAUGCUGGAUCGCCGGGCGAGCACGCAUCUCUUGGAAGGUUUGCAAUGCGGCACGCGGUAUCAGUUCACCCUGGCGGCGUUCAAUCGGAUCGGCAGCGGCAGCGCGAGCGACAUACAGACGGCGAAGACCAACGGCUCGAAGCCGGUGCCGCCGCCGAAGCAUCACUUCGUCCGGGCGAACCAGACGUUCGUUAUCCUGGAGUUGGCAGCCUGGCAGGACGGUGGCUGCUCGCUGACCUACUUCGUCGUCGAAUAUAGGAGGCUGCCCGGGGACUGGCUGCUAGUGUCCAAUAAUGUGCCGCCGCAGUCGAAAUUCCCUAUUGUGGAUCUAGAGAGCGGUACUAGCUAUGAGCUCCGUGUGACGGCUUACAACAACGCCGGUUCCACCCAGGCUGAGUACCUGUUCAACACGCUGUCGACGAAUGGAAACAACCGCUUGCACGAGGAUCAUCCGCAGGAGAGCGAGACCACACCUCUCUAUCUCGACGCGCAUGUGUUGGCGCCCAGCGUCAUCUCCGUGCUGGCUGUCAUCCUGGCGGUCGCCGGCGUGUGCUUCUGCCUCAAGACGCACGCGAGGAUUCAUCGGCAGCUCGGCGAUCGUUAUACUCAUCCCGAGCGUCUAUCGACGCACGCACGCGAUGUUUCCAGAUCCGGAGGGAUCCAGAGGCACGAACGAUCCGAGCUCGCAAACACAGGCGGCCUUAGACAACAAACACAAUAUGGAACAGAGGGAGCAGUACUACGCCACCGUGAGGAAACCGGGACAGCAGUCACCUUGCCGCGAGGUGAGCGCCCUGGAACGAAUACCCGAGUAUUCGGAAGAUAUUUAUCCGUAUGCCACCUUCAAUCUGCCCGAGCAGGAAAAUCUUUCGGCGAACCCCAUGAGACAGGCGUUCUUCUACGAACGCAGCGAGACGAUGCUGCAGGGUGCUCAAUGCGACAUGGACCAGUACACGAAGGUGCGAGGUCGGGCGCGACGCAAAUCGAAGUCGUUCAAAUCGGAAUCGGAGGAGUACGACACGCUGGGCUCGGACAGCGACACGGAGGUCGGCACCAGCAGCCGCACCGAGUCGUCGAAUCAUCUGGACGACUCCGGGCCGACGUCGAUAAUGGCUCGCUCGCCAGGACCGAACUCCGUCAAUCAGAGGGAGCAGCGGCUCGCCUUGGUGCAGCGACCGGUUCAUCAUAAUGUGCUGUACCACACGCACGAAUCAAGUACAUCAACCGAGCCGUCACCAAUUUCUGAGAGGAAGACCUUCCCGAGGCUCGAAAAGCAAAGGAGUCGCAGCGCGAUAACAGACG
RNAcentral lists this unclassified non-coding RNA (6110 nucleotides) under Harpegnathos saltator (Jerdon's jumping ant). RNAcentral's name for it is "down syndrome cell adhesion molecule-like protein Dscam2, transcript variant X1". The record is from RNAcentral. Lineage: Eukaryota; Metazoa; Arthropoda; Insecta; Hymenoptera; Formicidae.